RNAcentral lists this long non-coding RNA (280 nucleotides) under Lathyrus oleraceus (garden pea). Its description in RNAcentral is "Pisum sativum (pea) long non-coding RNA (PSAT_LNC041946)". The record is from RNAcentral. Lineage: Eukaryota; Viridiplantae; Streptophyta; Magnoliopsida; Fabales; Fabaceae.
UAUUUUAUAUAAUAACAUUAUCAAAAGCACAAACAAAAAUGAUAUUAAUGUUAGAAAUGAAGUUAAAAUUAUUUAAUAAUUCUUGUUUUGUUUUCAGACCAAAGAAUACUCUGCUAUCGGUUUCAAGUUCAUUGUUAAGAUAAGAAAUGUAAAAUUUUACAAUAAUGUAAAAUAAGUACGAUAACAGAGAGCUUCAGGACUUGUUGUUGACAAUGAUUCUGAUAUAACAUUGUCUUUGGAUUCAUUUUGUCUUGUCCGCCAAUAGUUCGUUAUCUUUGAU